CUACGGAGGGUGCAAGCGUUGUCCGGAUUUAUUGGGUUUAAAGGGUACGUAGGUGGAUUCUUAAGUCCGUGGUGAAAGCCCGCAGCUCAACUGCGGAACUGCCAUGGAUACUGGGAAUCUUGAAUUCAGUUGAGGUUGGCGGAAUUUAUGGUGUAGCGGUGAAAUGCAUAGAUACCAUAAAGAACACCUAUUGCGAAGGCAGCUAACUGGACUUGAAUUGACACUGAGGUACGAAAGCGUGGGGAGCAAACAGGAUUAGAAACCCUAGUAGUCC
This 274-nucleotide ribosomal RNA is filed under the name uncultured bacterium. Its description in RNAcentral is "partial 16S ribosomal RNA". It matches the Rfam family "Bacterial small subunit ribosomal RNA", at positions 523 to 796 of the family's 1533-position model. The record is from RNAcentral.